GAUGAACGCUGGCGGCGUGCCUAAUACAUGCAAGUCGAGCGAACGGACGAGAAGCUUGCUUCUCUGAUGUUAGCGGCGGACGGGUGAGUAACACGUGGAUAACCUACCUAUAAGACUGGGAUAACUUCGGGAAACCGGAGCUAAUACCGGAUAAUAUUUUGAACCGCAUGGUUCAAAAGUGAAAGACGGUCUUGCUGUCACUUAUAGAUGGAUCCGCGCUGCAUUAGCUAGUUGGUAAGGUAACGGCUUACCAAGGCAACGAUGCAUAGCCGACCUGAGAGGGUGAUCGGCCACACUGGAACUGAGACGCGGUCAAGACUCCGACGGGAGGCAGCAGUAGGGAAUCUUCCGCAAUGGGCGAAAGCCUGACGGAGCAACGCCGCGUGAGUGAUGAAGGUCUUCGGAUCGUAAAACUCUGUUAUUAGGGAAGAACAUAUGUGUAAGUAACUGUGCACAUCUUGACGGUACCUAAUCAGAAAGCCACGGCUAACUACGUG
This 497-nucleotide ribosomal RNA is filed under the name uncultured bacterium. RNAcentral's name for it is "partial 16S ribosomal RNA". It matches the Rfam family "Bacterial small subunit ribosomal RNA", at positions 28 to 507 of the family's 1533-position model. The record is from RNAcentral.